RNAcentral lists this ribosomal RNA (492 nucleotides) under uncultured bacterium. Its description in RNAcentral is "partial 16S ribosomal RNA". It matches the Rfam family "Bacterial small subunit ribosomal RNA", at positions 29 to 507 of the family's 1533-position model. The record is from RNAcentral.
AGUGAACGCUGGCGGUAGGCCUAACACAUGUAAGUCGAACGGCAACACAGUAAGAGCUUGCUCUUACGGGUGGCGAGUGGCGGACGGGUGAGGAAUACAUCGGAAUCUACUUUUUCGUGGGGGAUAACGUAGGGAAACUUACGCUAAUACCGCAUACGACCUACGGGUGAAAGCAGGGGAUCUUCGGACCUUGCGCGAUUGAAUGAGCCGAUGUCGGAUUAGCUAGUUGGCGGGGUAAAGGCCCACCAAGGCGACGAUCCGUAGCUGGUCUGAGAGGAUGAUCAGCCACACUGGAACUGAGACACGGUCCAGACUCCUACGGGAGGCAGCAGUGGGGAAUAUUGGACAAUGGGCGCAAGCCUGAUCCAGCCAUACCGCGUGGGUGAAGAAGGCCUUCGGGUUGUAAAGCCCUUUUGUUGGGAAAGAAAAGCAGCAGGUUAAUACCCCGCUGUUCUGACGGUACCCAAAGAAUAAGCACCGGCUAACUUCGUG